Molecule: long non-coding RNA, 1303 nt
Organism: Mus musculus (house mouse)
Lineage: Eukaryota; Metazoa; Chordata; Mammalia; Rodentia; Muridae
Product: predicted gene, 46480
Exons: 2
Source: RefSeq, a predicted model, not a curated record
UGAGAACACACUUUGGAAGCCGAGUAGGGGCCUGGUGUUCAGUCUUCUUUGGGGCCAGGCUUGCUUUUUUGUCCCCUGGUAGAGGGAACUGGACUUACAUGCUUUUACUUGCACACCCGAGAUAUGCAGUCUGCUAUUCUUGGCACUUCCUAUAUUCCUUUACUACCUCAUUGACCUGCAGCUACUUCCGGGGUCUGCUGGGGAUUGCAUUUUUUCGUCUAUAGAACACAACAAGCCAGAGAGAGUCCGGAGCUUCUCGUACAGACCCAGAGUUGCAGUUCUAUACGGGAUUCUGAAAGCUGCUGUCUAAGGAUGGACACAGAGCAGAGUGGGAAAAUGGAAAUGGAUCACACCAGCGUAAACAACGGAACAGAAGCUAAAGCCGUUCACCCCAGGACUUACGUUAGCUCCUACAACAGGGACCCCUGGUUUUAAGUCAUCAUUCUACAAUUUUUAACAUGGGAAAUCUGAAUGUUUCUUCCUGGCAUGUGUGUCAGGUCCGACAGAUGGUCUGUUGAUGUAGGUUCAUGUUGACCAGGACCUCAUGUGUUUGGACCCACUGGGUUCACCGGAGAGUUUCUCACAGAAUCCUGGCCUAUGUCUGCGUUGCAGUUUCUCUGUCUUUGUGGUGCAUAUCCUGUUGAUUCUAUUUAUAAUGGCAGAAUAAUAAAGUAUCUGUGGAUUACACUCAUGCUAUUGAUAUGUACUAGAUACCUUGGCCAAGAUAAUAAUAAGUCAGGCAAAGCCAAGUAUAUUUUAGCUUUUAAACAAGGAUAUGUCUUUACUACCUGUGCUAAUGAAUCCUGUCUUCCAGGAUUAAGAGGAUAGGGGGAUGCAUGGGAAAUUAUUUUUGAAGGAAAAUAGAAUGCUAUCUAGAGUGUAGAAAGCAACCAUAGACAUUAUUAAAGGACCAGCAUUUCGACACAAGCCCUAUAAAAGCCUUGUGCGUGAUCGGUUGCUUGUUAUUAGUUUUUAGCCUUUGCAGUCUGUGGGGACUUUGCUGGCGUGGGUUUCUCGUUUAGUGGAGUGCAGCCAGCUGCAUUGUGCACUGUUCUAUGGAGACAUUGUGCUUCAUUCCUAUUUACCUCAUCCUUGUGGGCAAACAUCUGCUUUUCUGUCUUGUUAGAACAGCAGCUGGAUUUCUGGAAUUCUUUGGCUGUCUGGUAUUUUCUUCUGCAUAUUAAUAUGAUUACAUUGCACGCAGGGUUCUCUCUUUCCUUUCAAGAUAAAUAUCUCCCUAAUACUGCAGGAUCAUAAAAGUUACACAGGUUUGUUGUGAAAUAGUUAAGCUAUGGAAAAAAAA